GCUUAACCGUAAACUUUAACUUACUCUUUAAUCGCCAGGGAACUACGAGCAAAGCUUAAAACCCAAAGGACUUGACGGUACCCCACAUCCACCUAGAGGAGCCUGUCCUAUAAUCGAUAAUCCCCGCUUAACCUCACCACCUUUAGCUAUUCAGCCUGUAUACCUCCGUCGUCAGCUUACCACGUGAGCGAACAUUAGUGAGCUUAAUGUCUUUACAUCAAUACGUCAGGUCAAGGUGCAGCAUAUAAGGUGAGAAGAGAUGGGCUACACUUUCUAAAUUAGAAUACACGGAAAACUAUUCAUGAAACUUAGUUUGAAGGCGGAUUUAGAAGUAAAGAGAAAUAAGAGUGUUCUCUUUAACUUGGCACUGGGGUGUGUACACACCGCCCGUCACCCUCUUCAAAGCUAAUUUUAAGUUUUUAACUAUACAUGCAAUAAUAGAAGAGGCAAGUCGUAACAUGGUAAGUAUACCGGAAGGUGUGCUUGGAAA
RNAcentral lists this ribosomal RNA (490 nucleotides) under Physalaemus cuvieri (barker frog). Its description in RNAcentral is "partial small subunit ribosomal RNA". It matches the Rfam family "Bacterial small subunit ribosomal RNA", at positions 794 to 1522 of the family's 1533-position model. Lineage: Eukaryota; Metazoa; Chordata; Amphibia; Anura; Leptodactylidae. The record is from RNAcentral.